UUUAUCCUAAAGCCUCGGUCACACCUUACCGGAUAGCUCGAACGGACGCCUAACGGAUAACUUUUUUUCAAUCCGUUAGACGUCCGUCCAUAUCCGUUGCAUGUCCGUUAAGCGUCCGUUUUAUCCGUUGCAUGUCCGUUAAGCGUCCGUUUUAUCCGUCGACGUCCGUUCUGUCCGGUAGAAAAUUUUGAGCAUGUUCAAAACUUUGAACGGACGUCUAACGGAUAAAAUGUCCGUUGAACGUCCGUUAGACGUCCGUUAGGCGUCCGUUUGUACGGUACUCGUCCGUUUCGUUUCGUUUUUGUUAUCCGUUACGUGUCCGUUAUACAUCCGUUGGAGGUCUGGCAGAUAAAUUCACCAACGGACUUCUAACGGACGUCUAACGGAUAAAACGG
This 395-nucleotide long non-coding RNA is filed under the name Mytilus galloprovincialis (Mediterranean mussel). The record is from RNAcentral. Lineage: Eukaryota; Metazoa; Mollusca; Bivalvia; Mytilida; Mytilidae.